AUGUGGGGACAAAAUGCUACCUUGCAAGCUGCCUUUCACCCUUGGAAGACAUGGGCACACCUAUGUGGAGUGAGUGCAUCAUUACCCUGUCUCUUUCUCUCUGCCCCCACAGCAACGCCCACAUCCCCGUCCGUGUUCCCAUUGUCGCCAUGCUGCGGAGACACUUCCUCCGCCUCCCAGAUCGCCAUGGGCUGCUUGAUCUCUGGUUACUUCCCGGAACCGGCCACCGUGGAGUGGAAUUCCGGCGCCGUCACCUCUGGCAUCCAGAACUUCCCUGCGGUACAGCGAUCAUCCAGUAGCCACUACACGUUCAGUAGCCAGCUCACCGUACCAGCCUCCAGCUGGCAAUCCGGGACUUUCCAGUGCAACGUGGCACAUGCAGCUACCAGAUCUGCCCUCAACAAAAAGAUUGAAGCCUGCUCUCGCCAUCGUGAACCAGUGACUCCAGAAGUCCACCUCCUCCAUUCUUCCUGCAACCACAGAACUGACCUUGCCACCAUUCAUCUCGUGUGCCUUAUCUCGGGUUUCUACCCCAAUGCAGUUACAGUGAACUGGCUGGUAGACGGCAAGCGUGGGGUGCUUGCAUCCAGUACUGAGAUCCCCAAGAAAGACGCCACCGGGUACACCUUCAGCACCACCAGCACAGCCAACAUAACCCAACUUGCCUGGAAGGAGGGGAAGACCUACACCUGCCAGGUGACCCACCAGGGUGGCACGGUGGAAAAACAGGCCUCAAAGUGCUCAGGUGAUAGUGGCAGCCUUGUGACCAACGGCGUUAAGAUCUCUAUCAUACCCCCAACUCCGGUUGACCUAUACAUGAACGGAGACCCCAAGCUCAUCUGCUUGGUAUCCAGUCUUGAUAGUGAUGCAGAGCUAGAUGUGAGCUGGUCCUGGGAGAAACAAGGACGCCUGAACCCCGAACCACUGGAAACCACAUCUGAAUCAGAUGGCACCUUCACCGCUAGGAGCUCCCUGAUCAUCUCCAAGCAGAACUGGCUGGCAGGGGACGUCUACACUUGCAAAGCAGAACAUCCAAGCUUCGCCGCUCCCCUUACCAAGACGAUCUCUCGGAAUACAGGCCCGAGCUCCCGCCCCCACGUGUACCUCUUCCGCCCUCACAACGAAGAGUUGAAAUCUCGUGAUCCAACUGUGUCCAUUACCUGCCUGGUCAAAGGUUUCAAGCCUAAGGACAUCUCCAUCCGGUGGCUCGAGAAUCACAACGUCGUGACUGAAAACAACCACGUGACCACCCCAGUCCAGAUGGACAGCAGUCAGGAUUCCUAUUUUAUCUACAGCAAGCUGACGGUCCCCAAGGCUAGCUGGAACGAUGGCAAUUCCUACACCUGCCAUGUUGUCCACGAAGAGCUCGAAAUGAAGUACACCCAGAGGACCGUUGAGAAAAUUCAGGGUAAAAAAUGAAGAGUGGCAUUGUUACCCUUCCCACCGACCCCAAUUCACCGAAUUGUCUCGAGCAUUGUCAGAUUUAACCCUGUGUAA
Non-coding RNA from Euleptes europaea (tarantolino), 1497 nucleotides. The record is from the annotation of a RefSeq genome assembly. Lineage: Eukaryota; Metazoa; Chordata; Lepidosauria; Squamata; Sphaerodactylidae.